This 479-nucleotide ribosomal RNA is filed under the name uncultured bacterium. RNAcentral's name for it is "bacterial SSU rRNA". It matches the Rfam family "Bacterial small subunit ribosomal RNA", at positions 501 to 981 of the family's 1533-position model. The record is from RNAcentral.
CUACGUGCCAGCAGCCGCGGUAAUACGGAGGGUGCGAGCGUUAAUCGGAAUAACUGGGCGUAAAGGGCACGCAGGCGGUGACUUAAGUGAGGUGUGAAAGCCCCGGGCUUAACCUGGGAAUUGCAUUUCAUACUGGGUCGCUAGAGUACUUUAGGGAGGGGUAGAAUUCCACGUGUAGCGGUGAAAUGCGUAGAGAUGUGGAGGAAUACCGAAGGCGAAGGCAGCCCCUUGGGAAUGUACUGACGCUCAUGUGCGAAAGCGUGGGGAGCAAACAGGAUUAGAUACCCUGGUAGUCCACGCUGUAAACGAUGUCGAUUUGGGGGUUGAACUUUGAGUUUGGCGCCCGUAGCUAACGUGAUAAAUCGACCGCCUGGGGAGUACGGCCGCAAGGUUAAAACUCAAAUGAAUUGACGGGGGCCCGCACAAGCGGUGGAGCAUGUGGUUUAAUUCGAUGCAACGCGAAGAACCUUACCUACUCU